UCCCAAUCGCAGUGAUCACCACCAUUAAAGCUAAUUCACAUUCUUUCUUGAGGUCCAAUCGUUCUUCUUCUCCACGCAAUCUUAUUUUUUACAAGAUUUGUUGUCAUCAUAUCCACACUUCUACUUUCCAUUCUUUCUCUGGUCAUCUUCUUCCUCUUUUAUUUUUCAAGCCAUCGUUUUCUUCCCCUUCUUUCACCACCCACCACCGAUACCACCAAUAUCCAAAUCUAUUGUCGUCAAAAAUAGAAUCAAAUUGCAUCAAAAAUAAUUUUGACGGAACUCCAUUUUUUCCGACGAAUCUAAAACUAUUUUCUUCGAAAUCGUUAACAAAUUUAAAUCCUAAAGAACUCACAACAUAGAAGAAAAAUAAGUAUCAACAAAUCUUAAUUAAU
Molecule: long non-coding RNA, 392 nt
Filed under: Solanum tuberosum (potato)
Lineage: Eukaryota; Viridiplantae; Streptophyta; Magnoliopsida; Solanales; Solanaceae
Description: long non-coding RNA (STUB_LNC007550)
Source: RNAcentral